The sequence is a transfer RNA, 88 nucleotides long. It matches the Rfam family "tRNA". Rfam says of the family: Transfer RNA (tRNA) molecules are approximately 80 nucleotides in length. Their secondary structure includes four short double-helical elements and three loops (D, anti-codon, and T loops). The record is from Rfam.
GGAGAAGUACUCAAGUGGCUGAAGAGGCGCCCCUGCUAAGGGUGUAGGUCGGUAAAACGGCGCGAGAGUUCGAAUCUCUCCUUCUCCG